GAUGAACGCUGGCGGCGUGCCUAAUACAUGCAAGUCGAGCGAACAGACGAGGAGCUUGCUCCUCUGACGUUAGCGGCGGACGGGUGAGUAACACGUGGAUAACCUACCUAUAAGACUGGGAUAACUUCGGGAAACCGGAGCUAAUACCGGAUAAUAUAUUGAACCGCAUGGUUCAAUAGUGAAAGACGGUUUUGCUAUCACUUAUAGAUGGAUCCGCGCCGCAUUAGCUAGUUGGUAAGGUAACGGCUUACCAAGGCAACGAUCCGUAGCCGACCUGAGAGGAGGAUAAGACACACUGGGACGGAGACACGGCCCAGACUCCUGAGGGAGGCAGAAGUAGGGAAAAUUGGAAAAUGGACGAAAGCCUGAUCAAGCAAUGCCGCGUGAAUGAUGAAGGCCUUAGGGUUGUAAAGCGCUUUUACACGGGAUGAUAAGGACAGGACAGGGAGAAUGAGAGACGGCUAACGCCGUG
This 472-nucleotide ribosomal RNA is filed under the name uncultured bacterium. Its description in RNAcentral is "partial 16S ribosomal RNA". It matches the Rfam family "Bacterial small subunit ribosomal RNA", at positions 28 to 507 of the family's 1533-position model. The record is from RNAcentral.